Capsicum annuum is the source of this 968-nucleotide RNA transcript. It is a transcript of the gene named E3 ubiquitin-protein ligase UPL5-like, with no coding region annotated. The transcript has 4 exons. The record is from RefSeq and is a predicted model, not a curated record. NCBI's taxonomy places the organism in Eukaryota, Viridiplantae, Streptophyta, Magnoliopsida, Solanales, Solanaceae.
GAGGAUAUUUUUGUCAUUUUAUAAUUUUAUACCAAAGAUAAAUUGUGUUGGGAUAGUAAUACCACCAUAUGUGUGGAUAACUUAUCUCAGUACUAUUUAGUAGUCGCGGAAUAAGUUAUCCCAACUAUUGACAAUCAAACGAUGGAUUAAAUUUUUAAUCCUGAAUUAUUGUUUUAUUCUGAAAUUAUUUAAUUUAAUACCGCACACCAAACGAUCCCUUAAAAAGAUCUAACACCAACAAAGAAUACUACCAGAGUAUCGUCGAUGAAACUCCCAGUUAUUCGAGCAUCUCCUUUGGGUUAUCUUCAGCCUCAAGCCAUGGAUCUUCUAGUGGAAGCUCUGUCUUAUCCUUUAAUAUUGUUACUAGUGAGGGAAUUGUUUUUCUUUGUAUGUCGAAAGAUCUUCAAUCCUCGGAGUGGUCUUUUUGCUGCUUCCCCAAAUAAUCGUAGAAGGUUUCUCCCAAAUCGAGACCUACAAUGAUAAUUGCUUAAGGAUAAGCAGUGUGCGUGACACUUCCUUGAGGAUCAAUCAGUUUCCAAGAAGAAGGGACAAUUGAUGACAAAUUAUAAUAUGGUUAUUCUGUGUCUCAUCAAAAUGGUUCCUAAAGUUAUCUGUGGAGUACAUUACCAUCUACACCGACAAGCACCAUCAUCUUCUUCAAAAUUAGUUGUACAAACUUGCAACAAAAUUGUACUUUACGAUUCACCACCUCAUCGUCAUUUAGGAUGGAAGAACAGGAUGUGGAAGAAUAGAUAUCCUAAUGGCCCAAAAUCUAAUAGGAGUGGAUACAACUUAUUCUUUGCUAAAAACAUUCCAUGCUCAAAUCUCUUUAUCAACAUAGAGAGGGAAUUUCAAAAAUCUGAUUGGAGAAUAACUCCAUCAUCCAGUACUAUUAUGAAACUCCAUCAUCCAGUACUAUUAUGUAUUAUGAAGAUUCAUCAUAAAUUGAGAACGUGGGUUUUAUAUUA